GCGCUGCAACAGCAGCGGCUCUUUGAGACCCUUGGCCUGAAUGAGAUUGUGUCUGUGUGCUGCUGGGUUUUGUCGAUGUAUUAAUGGCAGAGGACAAGGCAGCCAUUGCUGAAGCACUCUAAGUAUGCUCGCUGUCACCUGAGCUUGUGCACCUCCCAUCUGCCUGAAAAAAAAACCCACAUGACCUGGUGGUUAGCUGCUAAGAAAAAUUGAGAAGGGAGUUGUUACUGUUUUUUGAAACCGAGGGAAGGCAACUAUUUAGCAGUACUUGUUUUCCUUCAUAUGAUGGAUUUAGUGCAGAUGAAAGAGCUGCCAAUAGAGAUGAAAACGGUCGAAAAUGAUCGAAAAAACACUCGUAUUGAUUUUGGUUUCGUUUUAUAACAACGGUACGAAAACGAAAAUGUUACGGUCGAUAUACGGGAUCGAAAUUUCCGGUCAUUCGAAAACAGAAAAGUCGAAACGAAAAUAUGUCGAAAACGAUCGAAAUAUGAUAAACUUGUCGGUAAUUGACAAAACAAACAACAGACUGAAUUACUGAAUCCAAACAUUAAUAUAUAUAUAUAUAUAUAUAUAUAUAUAUAUAUAUUAAUUUCACAGUAGUCAAACAUUAAACCGUAGUGACAUUAUUUGAAUGGAAAAUUAUAUAUAUACUCGUGUCUGUAUGUCACACUCACAUACACGCAUACUGGUCGGUGGUGUAUUGGGUUGGUUGUAGGCUUUUGCUUUGGGGUGGGCUGCACGUUGGAGCUGAGGCCCGAGGCUAAUGUAUGGACUGGGGCAUUGGGAGUGGGAAGGCUAAAGACCGCUCAACCGCUCAAGGCUGCAGGUUGGGCUCAAAACCGGAUUGCUAAAAUGGUAUGAAAAACGAUACUUUCCCAAAACAAAACGGUAACCGUAAAAAUGAACGAAAAAUCAGUUAAAUCUUUUUCAAUACCGUUCUCAAAUACAAUCUGCUCGUUUUCGUUCCGAAACCGAAAAAUACCCAAAGUAAACGAAAACGGUCAGAAAAAAUGGUAUUCGGAAUAGGACGGGAUGAGAUUUUCUCAUACCGUUUUCAUCCCUAGCUGCCCAGGCUGAUGCCGUCGAGUAGGGAUGAAAGCGGUAAUCUGAACUGUUAGAACAAAUUUAAUAUUUUAAAAUAGAUAUGCAUAAAAUUUAUGUUGAUCUUUUCUUAUGUUAUUAAACACAUUAAUACACAUAUGAAUAAAAUAUUACACAAAUUGUUUUAUGUAUUAUUUGCUCCCUACAACACGAAACGUUGAAAAAGUUACCGAAUUUAUUUCUGAAUCCAUACCGAAGUUUAUAUCUAUUAUUUGAGAAAAUAUAGGAUGAAUUUGAGAUUUACCUUUUAUGAAUCUUUACAAGGUGGAUGUUAAAAAUAAGAAUACAAAUUUGUAUUGUAGAUUAUAUAUCCUAUUUAUUCGCAAUCAAUGAAAACGACUAAAAAACUGAUUACCGAAUAAAUAUCGUUUCCGACCGUUUUCAUCCCUACGUCGAGGGAAGGCGAGAAGAGGAAGUAGGGUUUGCUGGCUUCUCGGCGUUUCUACUUUUUCCAUGCAGAGUGAGGAUGGGAGGGAGUAGACUCAACGACAUGGGAGGGAGCAGACUUAACCCGAUUUGAUAGAAACCCGAUACAAACCCUCAGGUCCGUGACGCUGGCUUCUUCCCUGCCAUGCGUCAGCACCAACAUGAAGGGUUAGUUUUGUAGACACAAAACCGAAGUGGAUUGGAGGGGCUAAAAUCCCCCUCCUUAUUCAAUUUUGAAUAAGGAGACGAUUUUAGCUCCUCUAAUCCUCUCCAGUUUUUAGACUCUCAAACUAGUCCAAGAGAAGGUCAUGAAGCGCCGAAAGUCCUCCAACCCCCCCGCGACUUUUAAUAAACGGGAAUACUCAACACGCAGACAUCGUCAGUUAAUGUAAAGGUUGUUUGUUUCAUUGCAGGAUUAUAUAAUCCAAUUUAUAUGAUCGUAUUAGAGAUGUUUGUUUACACAUACUAUUAGUGUGUAAAAUGCUAAACAAUAAUCGAAAAUAAACAUCUAACAGUUUGCUUAUGCAUUAUCAUAAACUAGGUAUCUAUAAUUAUAUAAUGCACUUUGAUAUGGGUUGUUUGUUUCAGUGGCGGACGCAGAAUAAAAUUCUAGGUGGGGCCGACAGUACAAGAGACAAAUCACUAGACUAGAUCACCUGAUAAAUGUAGAUUAAUGAUAAUAACAUGAAUGUUAAAUGAUAAUGUCUAGUGUUUCCAAAAUAAUAUGAAUACCAAAAAACCAUUUUGGCUACCUAAAGGAGAGCUAGAGAGAGAAAAUAGGUGGACUGGCUGAGGACGAGGCGUUGAGACGGAACGUCGGAGCAGCUGCAUCGGCGUGUCGUUGUGGCGAGUCAUCGAAUUUGACGUGAGAUGACGUCGGUGAGACGACGACGGGUGGGAGGAGCGAGUGCAGGAGGCGAGGUAGCGGCGGAUGACGGUAACGACAAGCGACAACCAUUGUCGUGUUGCGACGGCGCGGUGGGACCCUAAUAAGUUAGCAAUGUUAGGUGACGCCACGGUCCCACCAACAGCUUGCACAUCUGCUGGUGCGGACUAGGAGGCAAAGUAUGAGCGUUGUGUGCAGGAUCCUGAUGAGGCGACGAGUUGAUGAGUGAUGAGAAGGCAAGGUGGCGCUACAGUGGGCGGGUUAGGUCACCAACUUAAUGGUUGUCACACCCGGUUUCGGGGCACCAAGACCCGGGCGCGAACAUAAUCACCAGGUGUGCUGGGACCAGGUCUCACACAUAUGAUGAAUCAUGGCACAAGAUCGAAUGUCACAACUUUACUAUAUAAUAGGAAUUCUAUACAAAAUAAAUAAUUGCAUAUAAGGAGACAACGGUCCAGCAACCCAAAGUUGACUGGGAGACGACGACCUAGACCUCUCACGAACACAUCACAGCAUCCUCCAAGCGCCUCAUCCAGCGGUACCUGUUCUUGACCUGUGGGGGGUGUGAGACAGCAAGAGUGAGCUCACAUACGUUCAUCGCUCAACAAGUUGUGGGGAAUAAUGUGCAUGAACUCGCCAAAGGUGGGAGCUCACGUGAAGUGUAAGGCUUACCAAAGAGGAUGGUUAGAGCUGAGCAUUGCUUUUAAAGUUGGUCAAAAUUUUAUUAGCAAUUACUAAGUAUAAGUAAAUACCAACCCAAUUAAGUAGUAGAACAAAAGUAACAACAUCACCUGCGAUGCAAUGCAUAUGACAAAUUGAAUUUAAGUUUCAUAAUUUAAUCAUCAGAGAGUCCUGAGCUGCUCAUGACCGUGAGCUCGGCUAGUAUACCAGUUUUACACUCUGCAGAGGUGGUACCCUUUACCCACAAGUCAUGUUACCCAUCUGCCAAGGGAUCGCGACUUCCCAUACACCUCUACCGAGGAGACGAGGCAGGGUAACACUACGAGGCCUUUACAAAGUUCCACUAGCUUCAGAAAACCCGCUACAGUUUAUAGGAAGCUCCAAUGCAGGGUUCUUGCCCGACCGCCAUCGCAGCAAAAUCAACCAAGGACCUCCCUACACUAACCACUCCCCUACUGCCCUUGCCCCUUUCGAGUAAGGUAGUCCUCCACUAGCUUUCCUAAUUAAUCAGCCAAGGGCGUCCAUAAACCCUUGUGGUGGCACGUGUUUCUCAAGUUAAGCUCUAUGUUCCAAUUAACAUUAAUGAUCUUAACAUGAACAUAAAUAGAAUAACAAAAUAACUGGAACAUAGACAUGAUAAAUAAUUAUCCCAAAUCCAUGUAAAGCAAUAGCAAACUACCCAAGUGAUUCAGGGGUAAACAAGGUAAUGAGAUAAACAAUCUAGGGUAACCUAUUGGGUCCCAUCAAAAUUAACAUAUGCAUGAAUAAAUGAUAUUAAAGAACAUUAUUGGGUAACAAAAGUGAAUCAAGGGCACAACUUGUCUGGGACUUGAGAUUUCAGGUACCAGGAUGAUCUUCAGGUGACUCGUGACCUCACGCUAGUCGUAGCAAUACAAAAAAACAGUGUAUAGACAAAAUUAACAUUACACCAAACAUAAGUACAAACUGAAUAAUAAUAAUCUACGUGUCGCUACGAGACUAACGCAACUUGAACGGAUCAAAUCGGAGUUAAAACGAAGCAUUUACGAAUUUCCUAAGGUUUUAUGUAUUUGAUACGAGAUUAAUUAAGAGAUAAAUUUUAAUACAGCUUUCAUGUCAAACCAGAGGUACUAUGUGAUAAACAAUAAUAUUAUAGAAUUAUAGGAAUUGGAAUGAAUCAAUUUGGACAUCAUAUGAAUUUUCUAUGAUUAAUACAAGUUCUAGCAUUUAGUUUUACACUAAAAAUCCAUUUCUAAUCUAAUUUCUCUGAUUUUCCAACUUUCUGGACUAGGCCUCAAUUACCUGAAAAGGCAGGGGCAUCGGGGUAACAUUUCUAAGACACAGGAAACAGUAGCCAUGGACUGCGGGUUCUAAUUUGCCUAAACCGAGGGGUUCUAGUGAAAUUGGGCCCGCGAAGGGGUAUCGUGAGAUUCUGGCCGUUCGAUCAGAAACUACAGGCUCCGAUUAGAUCACAAUUUUCUCCAAGCGGUACACCUCGCUAGCCGCCAGAUCUCGCAUCGACGGUUCUGAUUCCCUGAAACACUCGUCGCCCCGAACUCUAAUCCCAGUCGCCCAACUAAGAUCCAAUGGUUACAAACAUCUCCCCUUUCCCUACCAUCCGAGGCUGCUCACCCAGGAAUCAACGGCUAACACGCCGUCUUCUCCACGGCGCUAUCCGCCGCUGCGCACACCAGGCAGGCACAGCCCCGCCCACGGCCGCAGACGCCCCCACCGAUGCGCGCAGUAAUCACGCCACCACGUCAGACCUAGGUCGAGCGAUGGUGAUACCACGCCCCGCUACGCCGAGCCGAACGCCAACCCAGAUUAAGUCUAGCCGCUAAGGUGAGCUACGCCAGGAAGAAGAAUAAGGCGAGAACGUGGGGGUGUUCCUUACCGAGGGAUUGCGCGACGCAGGAGACCACAGCCGAAGUCUUACGGCCCGACGAUGCCGAUGUGGAUCCACCACGGCGGCCGCAUGCUCUACCCCUACUACGACGGCGACUCUAUUUGUCGAUGUGGAGGGUCACUGAUUGUCGCAUCCAAGGUAUGCGGCGGCCGUUCUUUUUAUAUCCCGAACGCGAGGCCGAGGACCCAGUCAAAUCCCACCGACCCGCCGAAAUCGCGGAUUCUGUUAGGCUUCGGUGCUCGUUUCAACGAGGAAGACGCCUGGAAUGCCAGACCCACCACGCAGCAACCCAAAGCGAGGCAAGCGUGCGUCCAAGGCAGCCAGGUGGGACCCACCGGUCGGUCCUAGGCGCACAGCGCGCAGCUCCCCUGGCGGAGGUUGAGCAGCACGUAGAUGCAUCCCUGGUCCAUAACUCCAUACGGUUCAGAAUACGGAGCAAUACUCGGGCCUAGUCAUCAGUGGUACAAUCGCACCUAGAGAUGAGGUCACUACUAACGUCGGCAUGACCUCACCACUCAUGAAUACAUUAAACAAUUCCGGCAGCUCGUCAAUUGUGUGCGCAAGCAUGUGGUUUCCAGCCCAGGUCUGUUGGGUGAGCCGAGCCAGAGCUCCAUGGCCCAGGUAACGUGUUUCUUUUUUUUAUUUCUAUUUUUUUGUUGUUUUCUAAUUUAAAUCUCUAAAUUCGAAUUUGUGAUUCAAACUUAGAGUCAAAGUCAUCAUGCCCAAUCAAAAUAUCCAGCAUGCUGCAAAGUUUUUAUUUUUAUUUUAAUUAUAUAUAUAUACUCAUUGCUUUAUUCAUUUUAAACAACUACUUCCAAGUGUAUAUUUUAUACCCACCAAAUAUAUGUUGUAAUAAAAUAAUUUCUAUUGCACAAAUUUAUUGAUAGUUAUUUCAGAUACAUUUCUAAAUAUUUUAUCUAAAAAGAAUAACUUAAUUUUAUAUUGAUUUUUUUCGUAUUAUUCUAUUAGAAAUCCCUAGUAAUAUUUUUGAUUGCUACAAAUUCUACUUUUCAAACUUAAACUUGUCUUAAAAUUUUGAGUACAAAGGUAAACAUGUAAGAACUCCAUCAUGAGGUGCAUAAUUCUAUAUCUAUUUAUUUUGUUAUUUGGUCAAUAUAAUUAUAUUAUUUGAAUAUGCACACAUAGAAGAAACUCAAUUAAUCUCCCAAGGUUCCAUAAAUUCCUCAAGACAUUAACUUAUACUAUAUUUAUUUAUUUAUUUAUAUCCUUAUUUUUUGUUGAUACAAAUUUUGGGCUCUACAAAUCCUACCCCCUUAAAAAGAAUCUCGUCUCCGAGAUUUGUAAGUAAAGGGAUACAAUAGGUUUGGUCUAGAAUUUUAGUUUCUCAUUUGGUUUUGGGAAUCAAAGUUUUGUUCAAGUUUUUACAUAUGAAUAUUGUAUGUCUAGACAUUUAUUAGGUCAGAUGAGGUACGGUUAUGGCAAGUAGAGGCUGUGGCAAGGGUAUAAUAAGGAAAGACUUCAUCCUGAACUCUGGAUCUUGAUUCCUCUCGCGAUCUAACUUGAUCUUUGAAGACUUGAGUUGAUGCUUAUCUUCCUUUGACGUGGUUGGUCUUCUUUGGCCUUUAUUCUUGGAGUUAUCAUCCGAGUUAAUGACAUAUGGUUAAGAUAGUUGUCGGUGCUUGGAUGGGUAGGCCCAACAAGUUUUACUUUGCUUUUGGGAUAAAUGGGUUGGGCAACCUAUAACAUAGGCUAGGUUGUGGUUUCACGGACGAGUUGGUCUAAGACACCAAUUCAGGUUUAGCACCCAUUUAUAGGAAUAUAAUCUAAUCUAUGUUUCCAGUAUUAACUAGCUUGUUUAAGUAACUUAGAUUAUAGUAGUUCAACUUAAGGUUAGACUUCGUUAGGUUGGAUUAAUCUAUCACAUCGGAUCAGAUCUAGGUUAGAUUGUUAUGACUAGAUAGACUAGAUAAAAUCUCAUUAAUUAGAUCCUGGUUGUUACUUUAGGAUGAGAUAAGUAGAGUGGUUAGGAUAAGAUGAUUCCUUCAAGAUAAGAUGAAUCUAUUGGGAUAAGAGAGAAUCUUUUAAGAUAAAUGGAUCUAUAUGAAAUAGAUACACUUUAAUGGAGGAUAAUCUAGGUUGUUUAGUUAUCUCAUGAAUUUUAUUCAUUUAUAUUUAUGCCUAUAUGUAUAUGUAGAUGUAAUUGUGGAUAUUACUCCACAACUCAUCACACUCAAUCAAAGAUCCAAAUCAGACAAGUAUCAUAAGAACAAGCAUUCAAACACAUAGAUACCUAUAAAAAUAGUUUUGUUUUUGUUCCUAAGAUUAGGUCUCCUAGUCCUAAGAGUCACUUUAGGUACAGGAUUUCAAAGUGUGAAAUCCACAUUUGUCUUUAGAAAGAAAAGAUAAGAAUAAUCAGAGUAAGCGGAAUUAGAUGAGAAAAGAUUAAGAAAAGUUUAGAAAGAAUCAGAGUAGCAAAGGUAAGUAAGUAUUUGUUGUCCAGUUCUGUCUAGGUUUCGUCCUACAGUCAACAUUGCUCUGAUACCACUUCUGUCACACUCGGGUUUCGGGGCACCAAGACCCGGGCGCGAACAUAAUCACCAGGUGUGCUGGGACCAGGUCUCACACAUAUGAUGAAUCAUGGCACAGGAUCGAAUGUCACAACUUUACUAUAUAAUAGGAAUUCUAUACAAAAUAAAUAAUUACAUAUAAGGAGACAACGGUCCAGCAACCCAAAGUUGACUGGGAGACGACGACCUAGACCUCUCACGAACACAUCACAUCAUCCUCCAAGCGCCUCAUCCAGCGGUACCUGUUCUUGACCUGUGGGGGGUGUGAGACAGCAAGAGUGAGCUCACAUACGUUCAUCGCUCAACAAGUUGUGGGGAAUAAUGUGCAUGAACUCGCCAAAGGUGGGAGCUCACGUGAAGUGUAAGGCUUACCAAAGAGGAUGGUUAGAGCUGAGCGUUGCUUUUAAAGUUGGUCAAAAUUUUAUUAGCAAUUACUAAGUAUAAGUAAAUACCAACCCAAUUAAGUAGUAGAACAAAAGUAACAACAUCACCUGCGAUGCAAUGCAUAUGACAAAUUGAAUUUAAGUUUCAUAAUUUAAUCAUCAGAGAGUCCUGAGCUGCUCAUGACCGUGAGCUCGGCUAGUAUACCAGUUUUACACUCUGCAGAGGUGGUACCCUUUACCCACAAGUCAUGUUACCCAUCUGCCAAGGGAUCGCGACUUCCCAUACACCUCUACCGAGGAGGCGAGGCAGGGUAACACUACGAGGCCUUUACAAAGUUCCACUAGCUUUAGAAAACCCGCUACAGUUUAUAGGAAGCUCCAAUGCAGGGUUCUUGCCUGACCGCCAUCGCAGCAAAAUCAACCAAGGACCUCCCUACACUGACCACUCCCCUACUGCCCUUGCCCCUUUCGGGUAAGGUAGUCCUCCACUAGCUUUCCUAAUUAAUCAGCCAAGGGCGUCCAUAAACCCUUGUGGUGGCACAUGUUUCUCAAGUUAAGCUCUAUGUUCCAAUUAACAUUAAUGAUCUUGACAUGAGCAUAAAUAGAAUAACAAAAUAACUGAAACAUAGAUAUGAUAAAUAAUUAUCCCAAAUCCAUAUAAAGCAAUAGCAAACUACCCAAGUGAUUCAGGGGUAAACAAGGUAAUGAGAUAAACAAUCUAGGGUAACCUAUUGGGUCCCAUCAAAAUUAACCUAUGCAUGAAUAAAUGAUAUUAAAGAACAUUAUUGGGUAACAAAAGUGAAUCAAGGGCACAACUUGCCUGGGACUUGAGAUUCCAGGUACCAGGAUGAUCUUCAGGUGACUCGUGACCUCACGCUAGUCGUAGCAAUACAAACAAACAGUGUAUAGACAAAAUUAACAUUACACCAAACAUAAGUACAAACUGAAUAAUAAUAAUCUACGCGUCGCUACGAGACUAACGCAACUUCAACGGAUCAAAUCGGAGUUAAAACGAAGCAGUUACGAAUUUCCUAAGGUUUUAUGUAUUUGAUACGAGAUUAAUUAAGAGAUAAAUUUUAAUACAGCUUUCAUGUCAAACCAGAGGUACUAUGUGAUAAACAAUAAUAUUAUAGAAUUAUAGGAAUUGGAAUGAAUCAAUUUGGACAUCAUAUGAAUUUUCUAUGAUUAAUACAAGUUCUAGCAUUUAGUUUUACACUAAAAAUCCAUUUCUAAUCUAUUUUCUCUGAUUUUCCAACUUUCUGGACUAGGCCUCAAUUACCCGAAAAGGCAGGGGCCUCGGGGUAACAUUUCUAAGACACAAGAAACAGUAGCCAUGGACUGCGGGUUCUAAUUUGCCUAAACCGAGGGGUUCCAGUGAAAUUGGGCCCGCGAAGGGGUAUCGUGAGAUUCUGGCCGUUCGAUCAGAAACUACAGGCUCCGAUUAGAUCGCAAUUUUCUCCAAGCGGUACACCUCGCUAGCCGCCGAAUCUCGCAUCGACGGUUCUGAUUCCCUGAAACACUCGUCGCCCCGAACUCUAAUCCCAGUCGCCCAACUAAGAUCCAAUGGUUACAAACAUCUCCCCUUUCCCUACCAUCCGAGACUGCUCACCUAGGAAUCAACGGCUAACACACCGUCUUCUCCACGGCGCUAUCCGCCGCUGCGCGCACCAGGCAGGCACAGCCCCACCCACGGCCGCAGACGCCCCCCACCGAUGCGCGCAGUAAUCACGCCACCACGUCAGACCUAGGUCGAGCGAUGGUGAUACCACGCCCCGCUACGCCGAGCCGAACGCCAGCCCAGAUUAAGUCUAGCCGCCAAGGUGAGCUACGCCAGGAAGAAGAAUAAGGCGAGAACGUGGGGGUGUUCCCUACCGAGGGAUUGCGCGACGCAGGAGACCACAGCCGAAGUCUUGCGGCCCGACGAUGCCGACGUGGAUCCACCACGGCGGCCGCAUGCUCUACCCCUGCUACGACGGCGACUCUAUUUGUCGAUGUGGAGGGUCACUGAUUGUCGCAUCCAAGGUAUGCGGCGGCCGUUCUUUUUAUAUCCCGAACGCGAGGCCGAGGACCCAGUCAAAUCCCACCGACCCGCCGAAAUCGCGGAUUCUGUUAGGCUUCGGUGCUCGUUUCAACGAGGAAGACGC
RNAcentral lists this long non-coding RNA (10034 nucleotides) under Zea mays. RNAcentral describes it as "long non-coding RNA (ZMAY_LNC002605)". The record is from RNAcentral. Lineage: Eukaryota; Viridiplantae; Streptophyta; Magnoliopsida; Poales; Poaceae.